This 593-nucleotide ribosomal RNA is filed under the name uncultured bacterium. RNAcentral's name for it is "bacterial SSU rRNA". It matches the Rfam family "Bacterial small subunit ribosomal RNA", at positions 338 to 956 of the family's 1533-position model. The record is from RNAcentral.
CCUACGGGAGGCAGCAGUAGGGAAUCUUGCGCAAUGGGCGAAAGCCUGACGCAGCCAUGCCGCGUGAAUGAUGAAGGUCUUAGGAUUGUAAAAUUCUUUCACCGGGGACGAUAAUGACGGUACCCGGAGAAGAAGCCCCGGCUAACUUCGUGCCAGCAGCCGCGGUAAUACGAAGGGGGCUAGCGUUGCUCGGAAUUACUGGGCGUAAAGGGAGCGUAGGCGGAUAGUUUAGUCAGAGGUGAAAGCCCAGGGCUCAACCUUGGAACUGCCUUUGAUACUGGCUAUCUUGAGUAUGGGAGAGGUGAGUGGAACUCCGAGUGUAGAGGUGAAAUUCGUAGAUAUUCGGAAGAACACCAGUGGCGAAGGCGACUCACUGGCCCAUUACUGACGCUGAGGCUCGAAAGCGUGGGGAGCAAACAGGAUUAGAUACCCUGGUAGUCCACGCCGUAAACGAUGAGUGCUAGUUGUCGGCAUGCAUGCAUGUCGGUGACGCAGCUAACGCAUUAAGCACUCCGCCUGGGGAGUACGGUCGCAAGNUUAAAACUCAAAGGAAUUGACGGCGUGAGACGUGCGAGACGACGACGAGGGAGAGG